GACGGAGGAUGCAAGUGUUAUCCGGAAUCACUGGGCGUAAAGCGUCUGUAGGUGGUUUAAAAAGUCUACUGUUAAAGCUUGAAGCUUAACUUCAAAAAUGCCGUAGAAACUUUUAAACUUGAGUAUGGUAGGGGUAGAGGGAAUUUCCAGUGGAGCGGUGAAAUGCGUAGAUCUUGGAAAGACCACCAAUGGCGAAGGCACUCUACUGGGCUAUUACUAACACUCAGAGACGAAAGCUAGGGUAGCAAAUGGG
RNAcentral lists this ribosomal RNA (253 nucleotides) under uncultured bacterium. Its description in RNAcentral is "partial 16S ribosomal RNA". It matches the Rfam family "Bacterial small subunit ribosomal RNA", at positions 524 to 776 of the family's 1533-position model. The record is from RNAcentral.